Molecule: transfer RNA, 83 nt
Filed under: Roseiarcus fermentans
Lineage: Bacteria; Pseudomonadati; Pseudomonadota; Alphaproteobacteria; Hyphomicrobiales; Roseiarcaceae
Rfam family: tRNA
About the family: Transfer RNA (tRNA) molecules are approximately 80 nucleotides in length. Their secondary structure includes four short double-helical elements and three loops (D, anti-codon, and T loops). Further hydrogen bonds mediate the characteristic L-shaped molecular structure. tRNAs have two regions of fundamental functional importance: the anti-codon, which is responsible for specific mRNA codon recognition, and the 3' end, to which the tRNAs corresponding amino acid is attached (by aminoacyl-tRNA synthetases). tRNAs cope with the degeneracy of the genetic code in two manners: having more than one tRNA (with a specific anti-codon) for a particular amino acid; and 'wobble' base-pairing, i.e. permitting non-standard base-pairing at the 3rd anti-codon position.
Source: Rfam by way of RNAcentral
GCGGACGUGGCGAAACCGGUAGACGCAAGGGACUUAAAAUCCCUCGGCCAAAAGCCGUGCGGGUUCGAUCCCCGCCGUCCGCA